GGACAUGUCUCUCAGCAAUGUAUAUCUCAGCUCUCGCAUCGAUGAAAAGUGUAGUGAAAUGCGAUACGUGGUAAGAAUUGUAGAAUCCUGUGAACCAUCGAGUCUUUGAACGCAAGUUGCGCCUGAGGCCAGUCGGCCGAGGGCACGUCCGCCUAGGCGUCAAG
RNAcentral lists this ribosomal RNA (164 nucleotides) under Cymbidium lancifolium. RNAcentral describes it as "5.8S ribosomal RNA". It matches the Rfam family "5.8S ribosomal RNA". From Rfam's summary of the family: 5.8S ribosomal RNA (5.8S rRNA) is a component of the large subunit of the eukaryotic ribosome. Lineage: Eukaryota; Viridiplantae; Streptophyta; Magnoliopsida; Asparagales; Orchidaceae. The record is from RNAcentral.